RNAcentral lists this ribosomal RNA (253 nucleotides) under uncultured bacterium. RNAcentral describes it as "partial 16S ribosomal RNA". It matches the Rfam family "Bacterial small subunit ribosomal RNA", at positions 524 to 776 of the family's 1533-position model. The record is from RNAcentral.
UACGAAGGGAGCUAGCGUUGUUCGGAAUCACUGGGCGUAAAGCGCACGUAGGCGGAUUGUUAAGUCGGGGGUGAAAUCCUGGAGCUCAACUCCAGAACUGCCUUCGAUACUGACGAUCUCGAGUCCGGGAGAGGUGAGUGGAACUCCGAGUGUAGAGGUGAAAUUCGUAGAUAUUCGGAAGAACACCCGUGGCGAAGGCGGUUCUCUGGGACGGUACUGACGCUGAGACGCGAAAGCGUGGGGAGCGAACAGG